UCGGGUGCUGACGAGUGGCGAACGGGUGAGUAAUGCAUCGGAACGUGCCCAGUCGUGGGGGAUAACGCAGCGAAAGCUGUGCUAAUACCGCAUACGAUCUAUGGAUGAAAGCGGGGGAUCGCAAGACCUCGCGCGAUUGGAGCGGCCGAUGUCAGAUUAGCUAGUUGGUGGGGUAAAGGCCCACCAAGGCGACGAUCUGUAGCUGGUCUGAGAGGACGACCAGCCACACUGGGACUGAGACACGGCCCAGACUCCUACGGGAGGCAGCAGUGGGGAAUUUUGGACAAUGGGCGCAAGCCUGAUCCAGCAAUGCCGCGUGCAGGAAGAAGGCCUUCGGGUUGUAAACUGCUUUUGUACGGAACGAAAAGGUCUGGGUUAAUACCCUGGGCUCAUGACGGUACCGUAAGAAUAAGCACCGGCUAACUACGUGCCAGCAGCCGCGGUAAUACGUAGGGUGCAAGCGUUAAUCGGAAUUACUGGGCGUAAAGCGUGCGCAGGCGGUUUUGUAAGACAGGCGUGAAAUCCCCGGGCUCAACCUGGGAAUGGCGCUUGUGACUGCAAAGCUGGAGUGCGGCAGAGGGGGAUGGAAUUCCGCGUGUAGCAGUGAAAUGCGUAGAUAUGCGGAGGAACACCAAUGGCGAAGGCAAUCCCCUGGGCCUGCACUGACGCUCAUGCACGAAAGCGUGGGGAGCAAACAGGA
This 700-nucleotide ribosomal RNA is filed under the name uncultured beta proteobacterium. Its description in RNAcentral is "bacterial SSU rRNA". It matches the Rfam family "Bacterial small subunit ribosomal RNA", at positions 80 to 777 of the family's 1533-position model. The record is from RNAcentral. Lineage: Bacteria; Pseudomonadati; Pseudomonadota; Betaproteobacteria.